Molecule: ribosomal RNA, 550 nt
Filed under: uncultured diatom
Lineage: Eukaryota; Bacillariophyta
Description: SSU rRNA
Rfam family: Eukaryotic small subunit ribosomal RNA
Source: RNAcentral
CUUCUUAGGUCUGGCAAUUGGAAUGAGAACAAUUUAAACCCCUUAUCGAGUAUCAAUUGGAGGGCAAGUCUGGUGCCAGCAGCCGCGGUAAUUCCAGCUCCAAUAGCGUAUAUUAAAGUUGUUGCAGUUAAAAAGCUCGUAGUUGGAUUUGUGGUGUGUCCAGUCGGCCUUUGCUCUUUGAGUGAUUGUGCUGUACUGGUCUGCCAUGUUUGGGUGGAAUCUGUGUGGCAUUAGGUUGUCGUGCAGGGGAUGCCCAUCGUUUACUGUGAAAAAAUUAGAGUGUUCAAAGCAGGCUUAUGCCGUUGAAUAUAUUAGCAUGGAAUAAUAAGAUAAGACUUUGGAACUAUUUUGUUGGUUUGCGUUACAAAGUAAUGAUUAAUAGGGACAGUUGGGGGUAUUCGUAUUUCGUUGUCAGAGGUGAAAUUCUUGGAUUUCCGAAAGACGAACUACUGCGAAAGCAUUUACCAAGGAUGUUUUCAUUAAUCAAGAACGAAAGUUAGGGGAUCGAAGAUGAUUAGAUACCAUCGUAGUCUCAACCAUAAACUAUGCC